Long non-coding RNA from Cyanistes caeruleus (blue tit), 897 nucleotides. RefSeq lists it as uncharacterized. The record is from RefSeq and is a predicted model, not a curated record. NCBI's taxonomy places the organism in Eukaryota, Metazoa, Chordata, Aves, Passeriformes, Paridae.
ACAAGAUGGAGGAGUGACAAUUGUCCUGAAACUCAGGCAGGAGGCACCCGUCGCCCUCAGUGCUGCCUGUGGCCAGCCUCAGUCAGUGGAGGGUGGUUGGGACCUCUCUCUGUCUUGUAAGCAGCGGUCACAGGCAAGAAAGUCCAGGACAAAACUGUGUUUCUUGUUAAUGUGUCUUUCCAGGUGACAAAUGGGAAAAAAUGCACUGAGAAACCUGACCCACAACAGGGGGACCAGCUGUUGAACUGCAGAAAGGAAACUGAGAGCAGUGUUUCUGGGACUUACCAUUUCUGAGGCCUCUCCUUGUGAACUCUAGCUCAUCUCCAGGAAACCAGAGAUGGGAGCAGCUUCAUCACAAACUAGUAACGACUGAUGGCUCGAAUAAUGGCCUUUUCAGGAAGCCUUGAAAAGCUCUGUGAGCAAUGACAGCACAGGGGGGAGAGAGCCCAAAAGAAAGCUUCACUUUGCUUUGAGAAAGAAAUUUUUGGAGUCCAGCAACCAGAAGAAGUGAGCGAGAGGGAACAGAGAAUAGGCAGAAGCUUCAUAGGAAAAUCUCCCUUAUUUGCUGCAGCAGCAAAAUCCACCACCAUCAACAGGUCCCACCUACAGGCACUUCUCCAUCUCCUUCCUGAAGUUUCAUUUCAUGGCCAUGUAUCUACUGAUUGCUACCAGAGUGCAGCAGCCACUUGGGAGAUUGCAAACUUCCCACUGUGCCAGGGAAGUUGGCAGGCUGCUCAGGGUUGUUAUGAGGAAAUGCUAUGGACAAACUUAGGGGUGACACUGACUUUGCCUGGAGUAAUGCAAAGAAAAGUAACAAUAUCUGUUACAUUAAACACCUUCAUUCUGUAAACCACUGGAAAUAAAAAGUUAAUAAAUACAAGAAAGGAGGUCAAUUAA